UACGAAGGGGGCUAGCGUUGUUCGGAAUUACUGGGCGUAAAGCGCGCGUAGGCGGCUUUGUAAGUCAGAGGUGAAAGCCUGGAGCUCAACUCCAGAACUGCCUUUGAGACUGCAUCGCUAGAAUCAUAGAGAGGUUAGUGGAAUUCCGAGUGUAGAGGUGAAAUUCGUAGAUAUUCGGAAGAACACCAGUGGCGAAGGCGACUAACUGGACAUGUAUUGACGCUGAGGUGCGAAAGCGUGGGGAGCAAACAGG
Molecule: ribosomal RNA, 253 nt
Filed under: uncultured bacterium
Lineage: Bacteria
Description: partial 16S ribosomal RNA
Rfam family: Bacterial small subunit ribosomal RNA
Source: RNAcentral